GCGCCGCGCGCGCUGAUCUCUGAGGGCUUUUCCUGAGGAUUUUCUGAAGAGGUCACGCCGUGACGUGUCAAUCUUCUAUCGAUCACACGUCUUCACAUGAUACGAAUUCGCAGACAGCUGGAUGCUUGCGUAUGGAUUUCUAGGAAAUGGGGAACAUGUGUCUGGUGCUAGACAGACAGACGGGAGACACAAGGACAGCACCAGGAUGCACUAUGGGAAGAAGACGAGUCGGUGGAGGAAGUGUGAUGCUCUGGGCAAUGUUCUGCUGGGAAACCUUGGGUCCUGCAUACAUGUGGAUGUUACUUUGACACGUACCACCUACAUAAACAUUGCUUCAGACUCAGUUCCCUCUUUCAGCAGGAUAACGCUCCCUGACACCUGCAAACAUUGUUCAGGAACAGUUUGAGGAACAUGACAGAGUUCAAGGUGUUGACUCGACCUCCAAAUUCCCCAGAUCUCAAUUCGAUCGAGCAUCUGUGGGAUAUGAUGGACAGGGAGGCCCCACCUCACAACUUACAGGACUUAAAGGAUCUGCUGUUAACAUCUCGGUGCCAGGUACCACAGCACAACUUCAGAGGUCUUGUGGAGUCCGUGGCUUGAUGGGUCAGAGCUGUUUUGAAGGCACAAGGAGAUGAGAACCUACACAAUAUUAGGCAGGCAGUUUUAAUGUUAUGGCUGAUGGUUUAUACAUUGAAAUAAGCUUUUUACAAAUGCUGGCCAAUAUUGUUGGUCUAUAAAAUAUUUUUUUUUUAUUGCCAAUUAAUCAGUUAACCCUUGUGCGUCAAUCAAAAAUGGCGCACUUAUAUAGUGCUUUUAUCCAAAGCUAAAAAAAAGUUACACAUAGAGGACAAAAAUUUCCAUGUCCAAAAACUGUCCAGAAGGCUUGAAAUAUUUCACUUUGUGUGUAAUGAAUCUAAAAUAUAUGAAAGUUCCACUUUUUGAAUUAAAUUAUGGGGAAAAAAUAACUUUUGCACGAUAUUCAAAUUUUUUGAGAUGCACCUGUAUUUUUCCCCAGAGGCUAAACCUGAUAAAAUACUACACAUUUCAGAAUUUUUAUUAUUUUUUUAAAUCGUUUUGAAACCUUGUCAACAAAAUAAAAGCCUAUGAACACAGAGCGCAUGAUUUUAUGCUAAACGUCACAGGGAUUAAAUAUUGCAGUUUGAACGGGUUUCAAUGAGGACGUUUUUGUCCUUAAGGUCCUGAGUGGAACUGUUUUGUGUAUCUAGUUUAAAAUAGAUUUAUCAAAGCAAAUGAGGGUGAAAUAUUAAAAUUCCAAUAAAAAUACACACUUUUUGCAAAAUUGAUGCUUUUAGCAAAAUUGUUUUUAAAAAUAAAUAAAAAGUCAAAAAUGUCCAUGAGGACACACAAGGGUUGAUCUUUACAAACAAAAUGUUCUCUAACUUCAAACCCACCAUUUACCAGAAAAACUAAAGAGCAUGUAUGAUAUGCAGACAGUCUGACACACUCCUUGGCUUCACACUCCCUGGCUUCCAAAGUUACACAACAUGAGUGGAUUUUUUGGUGUAAGCACUUGCUGGAGACACAAGAAGUGAGACUGAGACCUAAAAACAUAUUUAGGUGUGUGCGUGUGUGUGCUGUUGCACUUUGGCACCACACUAGAUGCUGGUUGGUCAUGUUUUACCUGUUCAUUGUUAUUAAAAUGUAUUUGAACAAAGUUAAUGUUAGUUAAUGAGCAAGCCUGAUGUGUAUUGGUGUAUUCCUAACAUUUAGCUUAGCAUGGUUACACUUGUAUGUUGAAGUCAUGAAUAAAGGUG
Long non-coding RNA from Ictalurus punctatus (channel catfish), 1775 nucleotides. The record is from Ensembl. Lineage: Eukaryota; Metazoa; Chordata; Actinopteri; Siluriformes; Ictaluridae.